Long non-coding RNA from Bos taurus (domestic cattle), 797 nucleotides. NCBI's taxonomy places the organism in Eukaryota, Metazoa, Chordata, Mammalia, Artiodactyla, Bovidae. The record is from Ensembl.
CUACCUGAUAUUUAAUGAGGUUCUGCAUAGUCAGGCCACUCAAAUGGCUGUUGUCUUGCUCUGUGUACACCCCCUGGCCCACCAGAGCCUGCUUCACCCUGCAAAGAGCUGACCUUCUAGGAAGGUACUUGCCCCAGGUCCCAGCUGGUGAUUGUUCUCAUCAAAGGGACGGUGAGGGGCGUGCCCUCUACUGGUUUCCCUGGUAACUAGUGAGCCUGCUGCUGCUGCUAAGUCGCUUCAGUCGUGUCCGACUCUGCGACCCCAUAGACAGCAGCCCACCAGGAUCCCCUAUCCCUGGGAUUCUCCAGGCAAGAUCACUGGAGUGGGUUGCCAUUUCCUUCUCCAGUGCAUGAAAAUGAUAAGUGAAAGUGAAGUCGCUCAGUCGUGUCUGACUCUUAGCAACCCCAGGGACUGCAGCCCACCAGGCUCCUCCGUCCAUGGGAUUUUCCAGGAGCGAAGACUGCCUGCGGUCCUGUCCUGCCCGCCGUCUGCUGCAAGCUCUGGGGUGUCCUCCAGGACCUUGCUUCAGACAGUCCCCAUGAUGAAAAGGACAUUCCCUGUGGACACCAGCCUAAAUCAAUUGAAUUUCCAGCUGGCAGCAGACAUGGUCCAUUCUGAAGGAGAUCAGCCCUGGGAUUUCUUUGGAAGGAAUGAUGCUAAAGCUGAAACUCCAGUACUUUGGCCACCUCAUGCGAAGAGUUGACUCAUUGGAAAAGACUCUGAUGCUGGGAGGGAUUGGGGGCAGGAGAAGGGGACAACAGAGGAUGAAAUGGCUGGAUGGCAUCACUGACUCGAUG